This 535-nucleotide ribosomal RNA is filed under the name uncultured Mycobacterium sp. RNAcentral's name for it is "bacterial SSU rRNA". It matches the Rfam family "Bacterial small subunit ribosomal RNA", at positions 54 to 606 of the family's 1533-position model. The record is from RNAcentral. Lineage: Bacteria; Bacillati; Actinomycetota; Actinomycetes; Mycobacteriales; Mycobacteriaceae.
CAUGCAAGUCGAACGGAAAGGCCCUUCGGGGUACUCGAGUGGCGAACGGGUGAGUAACACGUGGGUGAUCUGCCCUGCACUUUGGGAUAAGCCUGGGAAACUGGGUCUAAUACCGGAUAGGACUACGCGAUGCAUGUCGUGUGGUGGAAAGCUUUUGCGGUGUGGGAUGGGCCCGCGGCCUAUCAGCUUGUUGGUGAGGUUAUGGCUUACCAAGGCGACGACGGGUAGCCGGCCUGAGAGGGUGACCGGCCACACUGGGACUGAGAUACGGCCCAGACUCCUACGGGAGGCAGCAGUGGGGAAUAUUGCACAAUGGGCGCAAGCCUGAUGCAGCGACGCCGCGUGAGGGAUGACGGCCUUCGGGUUGUAAACCUCUUUCAGCAGGGACGAAGCGCAAGUGACGGUACCUGUAGAAGAAGGACCGGCCAACUACGUGCCAGCAGCCGCGGUAAUACGUAGGGUCCGAGCGUUGUCCGGAAUUACUGGGCGUAAAGAGCUCGUAGGUGGUUUGUCGCGUUGUUCGUGAAAACUCACA